This is a non-coding RNA of Nerophis lumbriciformis (worm pipefish), 77 nucleotides long. NCBI's taxonomy places the organism in Eukaryota, Metazoa, Chordata, Actinopteri, Syngnathiformes, Syngnathidae. The record is from RefSeq and is a predicted model, not a curated record.
CUAACUGAAAUGAUGACUGCAUAGUUCAGCGGAUAACCUGUGAAGAAUAAAUCUUUCGCUCCUAUCUGAUUAAUGUU